CAUCUCCCUUCCAAAUGUGCUGCAAACAUUCCAGGAAGGAAUGUGACUCACACUUUUUGGGAGAUCCUUCUUGAAGUAUCAACUGCCAGAAGAACAUCUUAAAAUCUGGCUGCUACUUGCACAAAGAGCUCUGGUAUAUAAGACCUUUCAGUAUGUGGGAGCUAAAAAGAGCAAAGUUGGCUUUUAAGGUGAAGCACAACGGCAUGUCAGAUCUGUCUUCAUCUUAAGAUGGCCCUGUUUCCGGUAUGUUCUCUCCAAUUUCCUGUUGAAGAGAUGGUCUGAUCAAUAUCUCUAUACUCUGCAGCCAUUAACAGGACCUACGGCCAUACUGACUGAGGGGUUCUGCAAGUUGGAAGCCAAGACAACUCUCCCACAGUUUGUUAUUCUCAGUUCUCAUACUUGGCCCCUUUCUGGAACUAUAGCAAUAAUUAUUGCUAUAUUUGCUAAUUAUAAUUGGCACUUCACCACUGGGGCUGUCAAUGUGAACUGAUAGGGCUCUGGUAAUGGACAAAGUGCAACUUUUUUAUUAACUCUGAAGUGGGUGCUUUCCUAGUGGUGGGAUUAUUAUGUUGUUUUCAAAUGCCAUUAAGUCACUUCCAAUGAAUUGUGACCGUAUGAGAAAUUUCCAAGAAACCCUGUCACCAUCUCUACUCAAGUCUUCUAAGCUGAGGGUUAUGGCUUCCUUGAUUAAGUUUAAUCAAACCCAAGACAUUCUUCCUCUUUUCCGACUGCCUCCUCUUUUCCCAAGCACUGUAGUCUUUCUAAUGAGAUAUGUCAUCUCUCAAUUUGGAUAAAGUAUGAUAGGCUCAGUUUAAUCCCAUAGAAGCCAAAACAAAUAUAGCUAGAGCUGUGAUGGAGCAACUGGGAAAAGACUCACUCACUUUUUGUGUGUUUAUGAACAGGUAGGGUAUUGUGUGAAUAAUCAUCUAGGCAAGCAGUUUACCAGCAAUGGUUUAUGGUUUCAGGAGCAUCUUGGACAAAGUGCUCUCUGGUGAGUUAUUUCUUAGUUGAUGGGGUAUAGUCUGUUUAUGUGGAAUUGUUACUCCAGGGCCCCAAAUAAUCAUUUUAAUUUAAAGUAACAUUGGGAUGGUUAAAAUGGUAGCUAGACCCAACUGCUCAGUGUAUUGGGUUAAAAUUGUCUUUGAAAGGAGUCCUAGAAUUGGACUCUCUGGCUCUCUUAGGAGUGGUUCUUCUCAACCAAGGAGGCUCCAGAUGCUGGACUUCAGCUCUCUUGCUCUUGGCUAUGUUGGACGUUGAGAUCCAACAGCAUCUGGAGUUCCUUUAGUAGAGACUCUUGCAGCUGCCCAAGGAUUCCAAGUGAUGUUACUAUUUCUGAAUGACCACCAUCUGUUUGGGCCGGUUAUCAAUCGUCUGUUACUUUAUUUCCUCUCAACUGAUUUGGUAUCACAUCCAACCAGUCCAUAAUUCAGGAAAUAAAGCCCGGCUGCUCACUGGAGGGAAGGAUAAUAGAUACAAAGAUGAAGUACUUUGGCCACAUCAUGAGAAGACAGGAAAGUUUAGAGAAGACAAUGAUGCUGGGGAAAAUGGAAGGAAAAAGAAAGAGGGGCCAACCAAGGGCAAGAUGAGUGAAUGGUAUCCUUGAUGUGACUGGCUUGACUCUGAAGGAGCUUGGGGUGGUGAUGGCCGACAGGGAGCUCUGGCGUGGGCUUAUCCUUGGUCACAAAGAGUUGGAAGCA
Anolis sagrei ordinatus is the source of this 1697-nucleotide long non-coding RNA. RefSeq lists it as uncharacterized. The record is from RefSeq and is a predicted model, not a curated record. NCBI's taxonomy places the organism in Eukaryota, Metazoa, Chordata, Lepidosauria, Squamata, Anolidae.